This 207-nucleotide unclassified non-coding RNA is filed under the name Veratrum nigrum. Its description in RNAcentral is "partial trnH-psbA intergenic spacer". The record is from RNAcentral. Lineage: Eukaryota; Viridiplantae; Streptophyta; Magnoliopsida; Liliales; Melanthiaceae.
CCCUUAUCUAGCUAAAGCAUUUUAUCUUUUUUAUUUUUCCAUUCAUCAUUAUUGUAUUUAUUCUUACCUUCAUACUUAAAUCUAGAUAUUGGACAUAGAAUGCCAAUUUAAAAAAUGUAAAAAAGGGAGCAAUCCGCUGUUAUCUUGCUAGAACAAGAUAACAGCGGAUUGCUCCUUCAACAAUUCAUAUACACUAAGACCUAAGUC